CACGUUUUCCAUGCCAGUUUUCAGGGAACUGCUUAGAAUGAUAGAGGGGAGGCAGCAGUGCAGAGAGAGAGGAGAUGUCAGCAGUGAGAAAGCUCUUCCUGUGUCAGAAAGGGUCAGCGUGUGUGACACCGGUAGAGUAGAUGGAGCCAUGGCUGCAAGAAACAACAGCCUAGUGAGCAGCAUUCCAGCCAAGCCCCAGAACAGCCGGAAAAGGGAAGUUUUGGGCGGUGCGUGGCUCCCUCGCCUCCCCUUCCGCAGCCUGCUCCGCCCCGGGCUGCAGUGGAGCGGGGCCGCCGGGCAGUUUUCAGCAUGGCAGUGGACUGGCUCGGCUUUGGCUACGCCGCCCUGGUGGCAUCAGGAGGGCUUAUUGGCUAUGUAAAAGCAGGUACGGUGCGGGAAGGUGCUUGUAUCUCCCGUCGUCUCCCCCUACUCCCCAAGAACUUUGUGAGCUGGGCGGCUUUUUUUGAAAGCCGCCUAUGUCGAAGCUCACACAGAUGUAAAGUUUAUCAGUUUGUGCCACGUGCUGA
RNAcentral lists this long non-coding RNA (527 nucleotides) under Buteo japonicus. RNAcentral's name for it is "lncRNA (ENSBJAG00000004468.1)". The record is from RNAcentral. Lineage: Eukaryota; Metazoa; Chordata; Aves; Accipitriformes; Accipitridae.